This 429-nucleotide long non-coding RNA is filed under the name Ictidomys tridecemlineatus (thirteen-lined ground squirrel). RNAcentral describes it as "lncRNA (ENSSTOG00000034370.1)". The record is from RNAcentral. Lineage: Eukaryota; Metazoa; Chordata; Mammalia; Rodentia; Sciuridae.
UUUUAGUUUUCGACAGACACAGCAUCUUUGUUUCUUUGUUUGCAUGUGGUGCUGAGGAUCGAACCUGGGCCACACGCAUGCCAGGUGAGCACGCUACCACUUGAGCCACAUCCCCAGCCCCGGAAGAGAAUGUUUUAGAAAGUUACAACAUCAGCUUCAUUCCGAGGCUGAUGUCAGUAAGAAGCACAAGAAGGCUGCCUCUAGAAACCCUCUGGAUGAUGAUACAGGAUGAAGCUACUCCUUCUGGGCACCACAUGAACUCCAGAUGCAGAUCCCUUUAGGUCUAGGCUCUGAGCAGGUAUAACUGUAAUGAGGUUUGAUCUCUUGCUUGAGUUUAUUCUCCACCUGGACUUGAAUCUAUAAUGAAUCAUCAGCUGGAGUGUAUGAUUCCAUCUCAGGAGGAUGCCGGCAAGAAAGGUCAGGAGAAAU